Molecule: long non-coding RNA, 588 nt
Organism: Phyllopteryx taeniolatus (common seadragon)
Lineage: Eukaryota; Metazoa; Chordata; Actinopteri; Syngnathiformes; Syngnathidae
Exons: 3
Source: RefSeq, a predicted model, not a curated record
GUGGCCAUUGGAGCCUCAGAGGGGAGCUACGUGCUGCAGAGUUUGAAAAAUUGCGGCAGAGACUCUAAGUAACUCAGUGAAGUCUCUUAAAACAACACAUUUUGAGAGGAGAACGUACCAACCGAAGCUCAACGUUAAAGACCAGCCGAACAUUAAAAUCAACCAGAAGUUGAAAGACAGAGGGGGAGGAUACAAGAGGUGUUUUUCCAGGAGGUGGUUUAGCAACUAGGCCAAUAUAAAGGCGUGCAGCGAGAUGAAUGCUUGGUUUUGUUUCCCCUGCCUACUUAUUCUGUCGUCAGGAUGUGAGGAGCCCGCAUGGACAAGAACAGAGAUUCCGUCCCUACUCUCUUUGGAGAACAUAGAGGUGGUGUAUCGCAGCAGGCCAAGAAACGUUGCACACUGGGCCCAGGUGAUCUUCAGAAGAUAGCUACAGAGGCUCAAGACCCCGACUGGACCAUCUGCCAACAUCCCCCAGACGCACAGCUCUGGUGUCCUUGAGCAAGACACUGAUACCCCGAAAUGCUCCCCGGGUGCUUCAGCUGCCCCCUGCUCCAGUGUGUUCCACUAACAUGUGUAUGUGUUCACUGU